This is a long non-coding RNA of Dendronephthya gigantea, 741 nucleotides long. RefSeq lists it as uncharacterized. The transcript has 3 exons. Lineage: Eukaryota; Metazoa; Cnidaria; Anthozoa; Malacalcyonacea; Nephtheidae. The record is from RefSeq and is a predicted model, not a curated record.
AAUUUCAAAGAUCUCAAAGUUUACGUAUAGUUAUUGAAAUAAAUCUAGAAGAGAAAGUUUGUCGCCAAAGUUGAAGACAUAUUGACAAAACGUAAUAUGAGAAGAUGUUGAAUAAAAUUUAUAUAUAUCCUCUGGUAUUAAUUUUAUGCCAAAUGGAAGGAGUAUGUUGCGAAGGAUCCGCAGGUGGAGAUUUAAACGUCUGGACAAUACUGUCAAUAGUAAUAUUCUGUGCUGUAAUCUCGUUUGUGUUGCUCGUCGUCUGUUCUAUCUCAUGCAAAAUACUACAGUGCCAAUCAUAACGUGGAUUACUUGAUGAUAGCUAAUAUUUAGUAUAAAGCACCCAUGCACACAGAGAAUCUCCAAAACAGAAAUGCUGUUUCCAUUUUUCAGUAACCCAAUCAGAAUGCAUAAAUAUCGUAUCAUCACAUAUCAUUCAAACCUAUAUGAACCAAAUCAGUUUAAAAUGGGCAUAGAUAGAUUAAUCAGACGAUUAUCAGACACAAUUAAUCCGUAAAAAAUGAGGUAGUGUGCCUGUAUAAAAAAGGUAUAUAGCUAUAGUAACCUGCACCGGAAAAGCACCCGCCUACUGAUCGCCGACAAUGCGUUGAUCAAGAACGCAAGGCUAAUAAUAGUGAUGCUAUUUAUUUUAUAAUACAAGUCAAUAAAAAGAUUUUGUACAAAUAUUAUAAUUCGAUUCAAUUACAAAUUCUCAUUACAUUACUUCGCUUGUCAAAUUCGGCG